Molecule: ribosomal RNA, 463 nt
Filed under: Vreelandella stevensii
Lineage: Bacteria; Pseudomonadati; Pseudomonadota; Gammaproteobacteria; Oceanospirillales; Halomonadaceae
Description: partial 16S ribosomal RNA
Rfam family: Bacterial small subunit ribosomal RNA
Source: RNAcentral
CCAGGGAGGCUGCAGUGGGGAAUAUUGGACAAUGGGCGAAAGCCUGAUCCAGCCAUGCCGCGUGUGUGAAGAAGGCCUUCGGGUUGUAAAGCACUUUCAGUGGGGAAGAAAGCCUUGGGGCUAAUACCCUCGAGGAAGGACAUCACCCACAGAAGAAGCACCGGCUAACUCCGUGCCAGCAGCCGCGGUAAUACGGAGGGUGCGAGCGUUAAUCGGAAUUACUGGGCGUAAAGCGCGCGUAGGCGGUCUGAUAAGCCGGUUGUGAAAGCCCCGGGCUCAACCUGGGAACGGCAUCCGGAACUGUCAGGCUAGAGUGCAGGAGAGGAAGGUAGAAUUCCCGGUGUAGCGGUGAAAUGCGUAGAGAUCGGGAGGAAUACCAGUGGCGAAGGCGGCCUUCUGGACUGACACUGACGCUGAGGUGCGAAAGCGUGGGUAGCAAACAGGAUUAGAUACCCUAGUAGUC